CACGCAUCACACCGGAAACAGUAUGCGGUCUCUACGCUAAAUUCCAACUUAAGUAACUGACGAGCAUAGUUUUCGACUAAAGCUUGAGUCUAGAACUUGUUUCCAUAUGUUGUUCCCAUAUACUCCAUGAUAGACAACAAAACAAAGCAGAAUUAUAAACCUUUGUAGUGGAUGCAGAGCAUGUUGCUGCUGUAAGUACAUCAAAACCGAAGCCCUGUCUAUUCCAAAGUGUAGUACUGGC
This 241-nucleotide long non-coding RNA is filed under the name Trifolium pratense (red clover). RNAcentral's name for it is "long non-coding RNA (TPRA_LNC008318)". The record is from RNAcentral. Lineage: Eukaryota; Viridiplantae; Streptophyta; Magnoliopsida; Fabales; Fabaceae.